AGAACGUAAUUGUUACUUCGAUCAGUCACAAUUUCCAAGAAAACAAGGAAAAUUAAUCGGUGUAUCGUGCGUUCGGACACGUACUCCCUGUAAUAUAAACUGCAAUUAACAAUGAAUUAUUGAAAUUCUGUAUACUGUUGAACAAAAUAUAUAAAAAGAAAAGAUAUUCUACAAUAAAUUCAUAAAAAUUAUAUUUUUAAUAUCGAUGGCUCUUAAAGGAUGUCUGGGUUGCGCGCGACUGUAUUUAUCCAUGUCAGAGAAGAUUGAAUGACCUGUCGUAUAAUUUUGUCCAUCGGUGUAUUUAGAAGUUAUCAGGAAGCAAAAUAGGGGAGAAGGAGAGUAGCAAUCAUGCAUCGAUACGGGGAAGGAAAACAGGCCUAAUUGUUGGCCGAGAGCGUGGCGAGAUGAAAGGCGUAGCGAGCAUGAAAGUCUCCGGUCGGUUAUUAAGAAGAAACGACAAAGAAAAAAGGAACAUAAUUAAUAAGCGAGAGAGACCAUGGAAAAAAGCAGCAUCAGGAAGAAAGUUCAAGCGAGAUCCAUUCGACUGAACCUAACAAUCAGAUCCGGAAGCGUAUUUUUAUAAGCGUCUUGAUCGAUCCGAUCGAUCAUUAGUAUAUCUACACUAGUGAUGUGCGGCCGUCCAAGCCCUCCCGAUUUUUUCUGAGCCCGUAAUAUCGGGUACCCGCACACCCCUAAUCUACACACUUUUUCAUGCGGUUAAUGUAAUUAAAGGGAAAUCCUAUUGGAGCCGGUCACGAUUAUAUGAAUCUCCAUCGGUGAAACGUGAAAGGAGUAACGCUCGAAGUGCGUACUCGACAACGUUUGCUUCGCAAACAUCCAGCGAUAAAGCGCUUUAACGAGUGCGUCGAGUGCCUCGUGAGAGUUCCUUCUCCCUCUCUUUUUUUGCCCUCCCCUCGAACCAGAGAUCAUUAAUUAGCUCCGUCGAAUGAAAAACAGCCUCUCGCCUAUUCGGGACCGCCGACUAGGCCGACAAUAAUAAAGCGGGGCAAUUAGCCACUUUUAAUAACAUCGUUUCAUCGAACGACUUGUUUGUACUUUCUUCCUUUUAUAACGAUCCAACCUCAUUGGUAUGCUUCUUCUUUUUUGGUCAGUAACAUCCUAAUGAUUUCGUGCACGUGUCGUUGUUCCGACGUUAAUUACCGUUUAAUUGACCUAAUUUUCGGAAUGCUAUCCAGCAACCAGCGAUAAAAGGAUGAAUUGAAAUUUGCGAACAGAGCUGUUACAAAUUGUUACAAUGCUGUUUCCCUGAUUAAUCGAAGGGAAUUGAUGCGCUCCGGUUUGGGCGGAUGGAAGAGGCAAUAUACCAGUCGUUAGAAACUGAAAUUGACCGAGUCCGGGAACGAGGAGACCGAGGUAGAUUCAUUUAAACGGGACCCUUGCGGAGUAACUUCGAUCGAGGAACGAGGAUAUUACUUUGGUUAGUUAGUAUUGGAUGAUUACUUGAGGUGAUGCAAACAAUCUUUGUGUUUAACUCUUGGACAGCAAACCCUGGGUCGAUCUUGUCCCAAACUUACAAAGCGGUAUACAGGAAUAUUAAACUAAAGUUAAAUAUAUAAUUUUUAAACGAAAGAGUUUCAUAUAAUUGGAAGAAUAAUUUUUAGAGCAACAGUGAAAUGCGGAAUUAAAUUAAAAGUGGGUCUCUCUCUAUGGUCCGCCGUUCGAAAAUAAAUAACACAGUCAUUCUAAAGGGUAGCUUUUGUUUUACAAAACGAAUUUUUGCAAAUAAAUAAAA
Molecule: non-coding RNA, 1753 nt
Organism: Osmia lignaria (orchard mason bee)
Lineage: Eukaryota; Metazoa; Arthropoda; Insecta; Hymenoptera; Megachilidae
Source: RefSeq, a predicted model, not a curated record